UCAUCUGCACACCCCCAAGAGGCAUAAGCCAAAUGAGCCUCCUCCCAAAUCUGCUCCCCCAAAAUUUGAUAGCACCAAACACUAUGAUGGGGAAAAAAAAGGUGUUCCUGAUUCAGUUGUGGAGGAUGAGGAUAAAGAGGAAAGUGAUGAUGAUUGCAAUGAAUUGCUAAUUGACACCUUAACUCAAGAGGCUGAUGCAGCUCUCUCUGGGCAGAUUGUUCCUGUUAUGGUGGCCAACCACACAUCUCCCUGGGUUUUAACCUAUCAUCUUGGUUGAAGAGAGACAAGUUCUUACCAUCUGUUUCAUCUGUUGCUGCUUCAUGUGAUGCUAAAGUGAUCGAAGAAAUUUUUUCCUUCUCUGAGGAUGAUGGCCCUUUUUUCUCAAGAUUCUCAACCUACCGUGGAGGACAAGAUGCCCACUGUGAUGAUUAAACCUAAGAAACCUCUGGCUCCUGUGAGGCUUAGUGACAGGUUGCAGAAGAAGGGGCAGACAACUAUUCUGCACAGGGUUGAAGCUUUGCUACAGAAGAAAAACUUGAAGUUCUGAGCAACACUUCAGAAGGAGCCUCGGCGACAACAAAUGAUGGAUGGAGCCCAUGGCCUACUCCAGGAGAUGAUGACUCUGCUGAGGCGCGCGCGAGGAAGGUCGUCGGGUGGGGUUUCUGAUCGUCGGCUACUGAAUUGCUAAGAUGAAGAUACCGGAGCUUCUGUUCGUUUGCUUUUAUCUCUGGUCGUUUGCAAACUUCGCUGCUGUGUCAGCUAGCUGGUCCCGUAGUUUGACCCUGUAAUAAACUUCCCUUAAAUAUUGCCCUGCUCUUUGAGCCGGCUCCCUCCCUCCUUGGGGAAUAUUGGGUGUUUGAAAUUCUUCUUUAGACUUGGUAACAGCAGGUUUUCGUCCCAUAGCGAUGGGCCGAGCCGGCCCUGGAGCAGUGGGUUUACUGUUGUUGUAGGUUUGGCUUCCCCCCAAAUUUUCCUCUGCUGUUGGUU
Molecule: long non-coding RNA, 987 nt
Organism: Brachypodium distachyon (stiff brome)
Lineage: Eukaryota; Viridiplantae; Streptophyta; Magnoliopsida; Poales; Poaceae
Exons: 3
Source: RefSeq, a predicted model, not a curated record